Brucella melitensis is the source of this 88-nucleotide small RNA. It matches the Rfam family "Brucella sRNA 120". NCBI's taxonomy places the organism in Bacteria, Pseudomonadati, Pseudomonadota, Alphaproteobacteria, Hyphomicrobiales, Brucellaceae. The record is from Rfam.
AUUACCGAGGGGAACGACGCGCUAAAAAGCGCGCGCAAAAGAGAAACCCCGGCUUUCUCCGGGGUUUCUUCAUUUUAUCAAUAAGUUA